UAUGGUUUUACUCAAUUUCACUAAAUAAAUAAAUUACUAAAGUAAAAAAAAAGAAAAUCUCCUCUCCCUCCCCUUCCCGGCCCAGCCCGCGACUCUCUCUCCCCUCCUCUCUCCCUCUCUCUGGCAGGUGGGCCCCACGUGUCGGGGUCAUCCCUAACCUCUGUGCUCGCCUAACCCCGCCGCCCGCACGCCGCCUCGCGUCGCGCGCUCGCCUCGUUGCCCGCGCAGCCACACACGCGCCUAACCCCUUCCCUACCGUCGCCGC
RNAcentral lists this long non-coding RNA (265 nucleotides) under Sorghum bicolor (sorghum). Its description in RNAcentral is "long non-coding RNA (SBIC_LNC012991)". The record is from RNAcentral. Lineage: Eukaryota; Viridiplantae; Streptophyta; Magnoliopsida; Poales; Poaceae.